UGGGAACGCGAAGAACCUUACCUAGACUUGACAUCCCCUGAAUUACCUGUAAUGAGGGAAGUCCCUUCGGGGACAGGGAGACAGGUGGUGCAUGGUUGUCGUCAGCUCGUGUCGUGAGAUGUUGGGUUAAGUCCCGCAACGAGCGCAACCCUUAUCAUUAGUUGCUACCAUUAAGUUGAGCACUCUAAUGAGACUGCCCGGGUUAACCGGGAGGAAGGUGGGGAUGACGUCAAAUCAUCAUGCCCCUUAUGUCUAGGGCCACACACGUACUACAAUGGUGAGUACAACGAGAUGCGAACCCGCGAGGGGGAGCUAAACUCAAAAACUCAUCUCAGUUCGGAUUGCAGGCUGCAACUCGCCUGCAUGAAGCUGGAGUUGCUAGUAAUCGCGAAUCAGAAUGUCGCGGUGAAUACGUUCCCGGGUCUUGUACACACCG
RNAcentral lists this ribosomal RNA (436 nucleotides) under uncultured bacterium. RNAcentral's name for it is "bacterial SSU rRNA". It matches the Rfam family "Bacterial small subunit ribosomal RNA", at positions 954 to 1392 of the family's 1533-position model. The record is from RNAcentral.